AAAAAUGUUUUUCUUUGAACUUUCCGUGGCAUUUCUUGUUAUUGAUUACAUCUGAAAAACGUUGAAAGAAGUAUGUGAAAGCAGCUAUUCUUUUCUUUGAACUUUCUGUUCACAUGUGCAUUAUACUACCACCAAUUACCCCACGUAUUCCACUAAAUUUCGUGCAGGUCUAUUUCUUGGUCCUCUUUAACUAAUAAUUGGUAGUAGUACUACUCUAUACUAUAUAUAUGAUGGGAGUAAUCCACUAGCUAUAACAUCCCUUUUCCAUUUCUGUGUAAAGGAAGAAGAAGAAGAAAGAAAAAUGGAAAAAGCUAUUGAAAGGCAGAGAGUUCUACUGGAGCACCUUCAGCCCAUUCGUUCUUCUUCUCACCAGUUUUCUUCUCUCACUGUAAGUUUUUUUUUCUUUUUCUUUCUCAUUUCUAUAAUUCCUAAAGAAUUGUUAUUGGAUUGAGAUGGACUUAAAUAGAGAGACACGGACGGUGAAGGUGAAGAUUCAUAUAGUUAAC
This 506-nucleotide long non-coding RNA is filed under the name Nicotiana tabacum (common tobacco). RNAcentral's name for it is "long non-coding RNA (NTAB_LNC003062)". The record is from RNAcentral. Lineage: Eukaryota; Viridiplantae; Streptophyta; Magnoliopsida; Solanales; Solanaceae.